AGAAAUCGUUAAGGGCGUAUGGCGGAUGCCUAGGCUUUCAGAGGCGAAGAAGGACGUGGUAAGCUGCGAAAAGCUGCGGGGAUUGGCACACACGAAUUGAUCCGCAGAUGUCCGAAUGGGGCAACCCGGCAUAUUGAAGAUAUGUCACCCAGCAAUGGGAGCAAACCCGGAGAACUGAAACAUCUAAGUACCCGGAGGAAAAGAAAUCGAAGAGAUUCCGUAAGUAGUGGCGAGCGAAAGCGGAUUAGCCCAAAAGCUUUUAUAUGUUUAAUAGAACACACUGGAAAGUGUGGCCAAAGAGGGUGAUAGCCCCGUAUAUGAAAGGCAUACAUAAGUGAUAAAUGAGUAGGGCGGGACACGUGAAAUCCUGUCUGAAUAUGGGGGGACCAUCCUCCAAGGCUAAAUACUCCUGAAAGACCGAUAGUGAACAAGUACUGUGAAGGAAAGGUGAAAAGCACUUCGAAUAGAAGGGUGAAAUAGAACCUGAAACCGUACGCCUACAAGCGGUCGGAGCAGCGUUAAUGCUGUGACGGCGUGCCUUUUGCAUAAUGAGCCUACGAGUUAAUCUUACUAGCGAGGUUAAGGACUUAAGGUCCGGAGCCGUAGCGAAAGCGAGUCUGAAUAGGGCGGAUAGUUAGUGGGAUUAGACGCGAAACCUUGUGAUCUACCCAUGGGCAGGUUGAAGCUUUGGUAACACAAAGUGGAGGACCGAACCGGUUGACGUUGAAAAGUCUUCGGAU
Molecule: ribosomal RNA, 740 nt
Filed under: Elizabethkingia anophelis
Lineage: Bacteria; Pseudomonadati; Bacteroidota; Flavobacteriia; Flavobacteriales; Weeksellaceae
Description: bacterial LSU rRNA
Rfam family: Bacterial large subunit ribosomal RNA
Source: RNAcentral